This 72-nucleotide transfer RNA is filed under the name Candidatus Heimdallarchaeota archaeon. Its description in RNAcentral is "tRNA-Thr". It matches the Rfam family "tRNA". From Rfam's summary of the family: Transfer RNA (tRNA) molecules are approximately 80 nucleotides in length. Their secondary structure includes four short double-helical elements and three loops (D, anti-codon, and T loops). Lineage: Archaea; Promethearchaeati; Candidatus Heimdallarchaeota. The record is from RNAcentral.
GCCAUUGUAGCUCAGGGGCAGAGCGGAUGCUUCGUAAGCAUUAGGUCGUGGGUUCAAUUCCCACCUGUGGCU